GCAGGCUCAUUGGCACACGCCUGUAAUCCCAGCUACUUGGGGGGCUGAGGCCAGCGGAUGGCUUGAACUCAGGAGUUCUGGGCUGCAGUAGGGUAUGCCAAUCAGGUAUCCGCACUACAUUCGGCAUCAAUAUAGUGAUCCCUGGGAAGCUUGGGGUCACCAGGUUGCCUAAGGAGGGGUGAACCAGACCAGGAGGGAAAAGGAGCAGAUCAAGACUCCCCUACAUUCUGUCACAGUGUCUCAGAGCUGGUGAGUGCUCAUGAACGCAGCUUACUGAUAUAAUUCCACAGCCAUAGCUAGCUACUU
Unclassified non-coding RNA from Gopherus evgoodei (Goodes thornscrub tortoise), 306 nucleotides. It matches the Rfam family "Metazoan signal recognition particle RNA". From Rfam's summary of the family: The signal recognition particle (SRP) is a universally conserved ribonucleoprotein. It is involved in the co-translational targeting of proteins to membranes. Lineage: Eukaryota; Metazoa; Chordata; Testudines; Testudinidae. The record is from Ensembl.